RNAcentral lists this ribosomal RNA (642 nucleotides) under Enterococcus faecium. RNAcentral describes it as "bacterial LSU rRNA". It matches the Rfam family "Bacterial large subunit ribosomal RNA", at positions 605 to 1247 of the family's 2925-position model. The record is from RNAcentral. Lineage: Bacteria; Bacillati; Bacillota; Bacilli; Lactobacillales; Enterococcaceae.
CUUUUGUAGAAUGAACCGGCGAGUUACGAUUGCAUGCGAGGUUAAGUUGAAGAGACGGAGCCGCAGCGAAAGCGAGUCUGAAUAGGGCGUUUGAGUAUGUAGUCGUAGACCCGAAACCAUGUGAUCUACCCAUGUCCAGGUUGAAGGUGCGGUAAAACGCACUGGAGGACCGAACCCACGUACGUUGAAAAGUGCGGGGAUGAGGUGUGGGUAGCGGAGAAAUUCCAAACGAACUUGGAGAUAGCUGGUUCUCUCCGAAAUAGCUUUAGGGCUAGCCUCGGAAUUGAGAAUGAUGGAGGUAGAGCACUGUUUGGACUAGGGACCCAUCUCGGGUUACCGAAUUCAGAUAAACUCCGAAUGCCAUUCAUUCAUAUCCGGGAGUCAGACUGUGAGUGAUAAGAUCCAUAGUCGAAAGGGAAACAGCCCAGACCACCAGCUAAGGUCCCAAAAUAUAUGUUAAGUGGAAAAGGAUGUGGGGUUGCACAGACAACUAGGAUGUUGGCUUAGAAGCAGCCACCAUUAAAGAGUGCGUAAUAGCUCACUAGUCGAGUGACCCUGCGCCGAAAAUGUACCGGGGCUAAACAUAUUACCGAAGCUGUGGAGUACACCUUUAGGUGUAUUGGUAGGAGAGCGUUCUAAGGG